GAUGAACGCUGGCGGCGUGCCUAAUACAUGCAAGUCGAACGAGGCCCUUUGUAUUCGUACGAAGGUGUCCUAGUGGGCGAACGGGUGAGUAACACGUAGGUGACCUGCCCCGAAGAGGGGAACAACCCCGGGAAACUGGGGCUAAUACCCCAUAACCUCCUUGGAGUUUAGAGGACCUUGGAGAAAAAGGAGCAAUCCGCUUUGGGAGGGGCCUGCGGCCCAUCGAGCUAGUUGGUAGGGUAACGGCCUACCAAGGCGAUGACGGGUAGGGGACCUGAGAGGGUGGUCCCCCACAAUGGGUACUGAAACACGGACCAUACGACUACGGUCGGCAGCAGUAGGGAAUAUUGCACAAUGGGCGAAAGCCUGAUGCAGCAACGCCGCGUGCGCGAUGGAAGGCCUCCGGGUUGUAAAGCGCUUUUCUGGGGGAAGAGAGAGGACGGUACCCCAGGAAUAAGUCUCGGCUAACUACGUG
This 475-nucleotide ribosomal RNA is filed under the name uncultured bacterium. Its description in RNAcentral is "bacterial SSU rRNA". It matches the Rfam family "Bacterial small subunit ribosomal RNA", at positions 28 to 507 of the family's 1533-position model. The record is from RNAcentral.